RNAcentral lists this unclassified non-coding RNA (390 nucleotides) under soil metagenome. RNAcentral describes it as "partial contains 5.8S ribosomal RNA, internal transcribed spacer 2, and large subunit ribosomal RNA". The stretch from base 1 to 122 matches the Rfam family "5.8S ribosomal RNA", at positions 35 to 154 of the family's 154-position model. The record is from RNAcentral.
GAUGAAGAACGUAGCGAAAUGCGAUACUUGGUGUGAAUUGCAGAAUCCCGUGAACCAUCGAGUCUUUGAACGCAAGUUGCGCCCGAAGCCAUUAGGCCGAGGGCACGCCUGCCUGGGCGUCACACGUCGUUGCCCCCCCAUCUACUCCUUCGGGAUUGCGGGGGGCGGAUGAUGGCCUCCCGUGCGCCUCGUCGCGCGGUUGGCCUAAAUGCCAAGUCCUCGGCGACGCACGCCACGACAAUCGGUGGUUGCGAAACCUCGGUUGCCUGUCGUGUGCGGUCGUCGCGCAUCGAGGGCUCGAAAAAAUUGCCGGGCUUCGGCUCGACUUUCAACGCGACCCCAGGUCAGGCGGGGUUACCCGCUGAAUUUAAGCAUAUCAUAAGCGGAGGA